GUGGGGAAUAUUGCGCAAUGGGCGAAAGCCUGACGCAGCGACGCCGCGUGAGGGAUGAAGGUCUUCGGAUCGUAAACCUCUGUCAGCAGGGAAGAACGGUCACUGUGCUAAUCAGCAGUGAAUUGACGGUACCUGCAAAGGAAGCACCGGCUAACUCCGUGCCAGCAGCCGCGGUAAUACGGAGGGUGCGAGCGUUAAUCGGAAUUACUGGGCGUAAAGCGCUCGUAGGCGGUAUGUCAAGUCAAGGGUGAAAUCCCCGCGCUCAACGUGGGAACUGCCUUUGAAACUGGCAAACUGGAGUGUGUGAGAGGAUAGUGGAAUUCCAGGUGUAGGAGUGAAAUCCGUAGAUAUCUGGAGGAACAUCAGUGGCGAAGGCGACUAUCUGGCACAUAACUGACGCUGAGGAGCGAAAGCGUGGGUAGCAAACAGGAUUAGAAACCCUUGUAGUCC
This 450-nucleotide ribosomal RNA is filed under the name uncultured Desulfovibrionaceae bacterium. RNAcentral describes it as "bacterial SSU rRNA". It matches the Rfam family "Bacterial small subunit ribosomal RNA", at positions 354 to 796 of the family's 1533-position model. Lineage: Bacteria; Pseudomonadati; Thermodesulfobacteriota; Desulfovibrionia; Desulfovibrionales; Desulfovibrionaceae. The record is from RNAcentral.